RNAcentral lists this ribosomal RNA (880 nucleotides) under Psychrobacter pulmonis. RNAcentral's name for it is "bacterial SSU rRNA". It matches the Rfam family "Bacterial small subunit ribosomal RNA", at positions 475 to 1355 of the family's 1533-position model. Lineage: Bacteria; Pseudomonadati; Pseudomonadota; Gammaproteobacteria; Moraxellales; Moraxellaceae. The record is from RNAcentral.
UUAGCUGCAGAAUAAGCACCGGCUAACUCUGUGCCAGCAGCCGCGGUAAUACAGAGGGUGCAAGCGUUAAGCGGAAUUACUGGGCGUAAAGCGAGCGUAGGUGGCUUGAUAAGUCAGAUGUGAAAGCCCCGGGCUUAACCUGGGAACGGCAUCUGAUACUGUUAGGCUAGAGUAGGUGAGAGGAAGGUAGAAUUCCAGGUGUAGCGGUGAAAUGCGUAGAGAUCUGGAGGAAUACCGAUGGCGAAGGCAGCCUUCUGGCAUCAUACUGACACUGAGGUUCGAAAGCGUGGGUAGCAAACAGGAUUAGAUACCCUGGUAGUCCACGCCGUAAACGAUGUCUACUAGUCGUUGGGUCCCUUGAGGACUUAGUGACGCAGCUAACGCAAUAAGUAGACCGCCUGGGGAGUACGGCCGCAAGGUUAAAACUCAAAUGAAUUGACGGGGGCCCGCACAAGCGGUGGAGCAUGUGGUUUAAUUCGAUGCAACGCGAAGAACCUUACCUGGUCUUGACAUAUCUAGAAUCCUGCAGAGAUGCGGGAGUGCCUUCGGGAAUUAGAAUACAGGUGCUGCAUGGCUGUCGUCAGCUCGUGUCGUGAGAUGUUGGGUUAAGUCCCGCAACGAGCGCAACCCUUGUCCUUAGUUACCAGCGGUUUGGCCGGGAUCUCUAAGGAUACUGCCAGUGACAAACUGGAGGAAGGCGGGGACGACGUCAAGUCAUCAUGGCCCUUACGACCAGGGCUACACACGUGCUACAAUGGUAGGUACAGAGGGCAGCUACACAGCGAUGUGAUGCGAAUCUCAAAAAGCCUAUCGUAGUCCAGAUUGGAGUCUGCAACUCGACUCCAUGAAGUAGGAAUCGCUAGUAAUCGCGGAUCAGAAU